Molecule: ribosomal RNA, 253 nt
Filed under: uncultured bacterium
Lineage: Bacteria
Description: partial 16S ribosomal RNA
Rfam family: Bacterial small subunit ribosomal RNA
Source: RNAcentral
UACAGAGGUCUCAAGCGUUGUUCGGAUUCAUUGGGCGUAAAGGGUGUGUAGGUGGCGCGCUAAGUCGGGUGUGAAAUUUCGGAGCUUAACUCCGAAACUGCAUUCGAUACUGGCGUGCUUGAGGACUGGAGAGGAGACUGGAAUUCAUGGUGUAGCAGUGAAAUGCGUAGAGAUCAUAAGGAAGACCAGUGGCGAAGGCGGGUCUCUGGACAGUUCCUGACACUGAGGCACGAAGGCCAGGGGAGCAAACGGG